GGACUACACGGGUAUCUAAUCCCGUUUGCUCCCCUAGCUUUCGCGCCUCAGCGUCAGUAGAGAUCCAGCCCGCCGCUUUCGCCACCGGCGUUCCUUCUGAUAUCAACGCAUUUCACCGCUCCACCAGAAGUUCCGCGGGCCCCUACCUCCCUCGAGCAAAUCAGUAUCCAAGGCACUUCUCCAGUUGAGCUGGAGGAUUUCACCCCGGACUUGAUCUGCCGCCUACGCGCCCUUUAAGCCCAGUGAUUCCGAACAACGUUCGCACGGUUCGUCUUACCGCGGCGGCUGGCAC
Molecule: ribosomal RNA, 292 nt
Filed under: uncultured bacterium
Lineage: Bacteria
Also listed under: 2 other names
Description: partial 16S ribosomal RNA
Source: RNAcentral